Long non-coding RNA from Brassica napus (rape), 1849 nucleotides. RefSeq lists it as uncharacterized. The record is from RefSeq and is a predicted model, not a curated record. The transcript is spliced from 5 exons. Lineage: Eukaryota; Viridiplantae; Streptophyta; Magnoliopsida; Brassicales; Brassicaceae.
AAAAUAUUAUUAUCUUAUUAUUUUAUCGAUUUAUGUCAAAUUUUGAACCAACGUAAACUGGGACCGACGAAAUUUAUUAAUUUAUCGAAUAUUAAUUUAUAGAGGUUCUACUGUAUAUGGAUGCAGAUUAUUAUGAAUUUCAUCGCUUGCUCCACUCCCUUUCCUUUCUUUUCUUUACGUUUCAAACACAAGCUAUGACAAUGGCCAAUUCCCAGCUCUUACUUUAUGAGUUGUAAAGGGAUAAACAUAAAGAUUUCCUAUUCCUAAUAUAUAUGAUUUAAACUUUAUCUCUAUUGUACCUUUACUUAGAUAACUUAGGAUCUCAUAUGUUGUAUAUAUACUCAUUACAUUGGAUCAAUAAACUCACGCUUUCAUAACAUAUUUCAAGUUGAAGUCCGGUCAUUCUUGACUGAUAGUUGUGACGCGCUAUAAAGCACGAGGACACCUAUUGUGUAAAGUCUCUGAAACGUUUCCAAGACGACUUCCUAGAUCAUUCGUCUUGUCUGGUUUGUAAAUCAAGUGUAAAGGAUGAUUAUGAGGUUGUGAUGAUGAUGAUGAUGAUGAUGAUGAUGGUUCAGUGUUUCAAUUCAUAGAUUGCCGUUUGAGAAUGUAUAGGUUACGACAACGACAAUCAUUCAACAGAACAACGUACGUCCUCUAUGAUCUUUCAUCAAGCUUUGCCGAGUUAUUAAUGAAUAUUUAAAGCUGGACAAGAAUGCAAUUGAGAAAUAGGCGCCUCCUUUUAUCAAAAAAAAAGAGGCACCUCCUUCUCCCCUCCCAAGGUUCCAGGUGUACUCCUUCUGCAAAACCUUGACCUUAUGGACACAAGUACACAUGUUCGGUUUUAUGUACAUAGACUGGUGUAUAUAUAUAUCAAAACUUAUUUUCCCGAAUUUUGUUCUAACAUAUUCUUUAAUUCACCCUUUUGAUUCUUCUCUCAGGAUCUCCGGUCAAUCUCCCUAGCAAGAGUUGGUUGCAAAGGUUUUGCAUGCAAAUGAGUGACGUUUCCAAGGUGAGCCACGAAGCCAUUUGCUUCAGAGUGGGAUGGAGCAUGUUUUGUUUCAUUGAUAUGAAGUAUCUAAUUCUUAUAUAUGUGCGAGAAUGCAGAAUUAUGUAUGUGAGAGGUGCAAGUCCACAUAGAGUCUGUGAUGAAUAAUACUCCAUAGACAUGAGAUUUAAAUGAGACUUCACGCGGUUUUGAAUUACUAAAUCUACCUAAGAGGACAAAUUAGCUAUCCUUGAGCCUGAAGGUGAUGGUUUCAAUUGGUAUAAGGUGGAAUUGGCCAACCGUGAAUUUUACUUUUGGAAUUAAGGGAAGAUUCCUUACUUGGUUUGCACCGGGUCAAGAGUCAAUCUGUUUCAGAAGAGAGCCUGAAGGAUGCACCAGUUCCUGCGAUUGUUUAUGAGAACUCUAUCAACUGUGAUUUAUUUAUUGUGGAGGUUGAAUAAGAGGCCCUCCUCAGAAUUUUUCAUCAGAAGCCUUGAUAAGAAAGAACCAAUUCCUGAGAUUGUUCCAAUGGCAGCUUUGUGAUGCCCUUUACCAGAAGCUUUAGAAACAGUUGAAUCACUUGAAAAAGGUAUUAAAGAGGAAGAAUUAAGUAAAGGGAAGAUUCAAUACAGAAAAAUGUAUCAAGCCCUGUUCGUUUGUACAUCUGGAAGAUGUAUCCAAAUGGUCCAUCUACAUGUCUUAUCCAGAUGUUCCAUCUGGGUGUUGUUCGUUUCUUCAUUUCGUCCAUGCAUCGAAAUGAAUCAUCUGAAUGCAACUAUGUUCAUUUGCUUUUCAUUUUUUAACUUUCAUCUGCAUCUAGGUGGACUUAUUAAUAAAAUGACUAAAAUAUAAAUUUUUACG